Molecule: long non-coding RNA, 772 nt
Filed under: Salvia miltiorrhiza (redroot sage)
Lineage: Eukaryota; Viridiplantae; Streptophyta; Magnoliopsida; Lamiales; Lamiaceae
Description: long non-coding RNA (SMIL_LNC005796)
Source: RNAcentral
AGUACACCGAGGUUUGUUUCAUACCGUUUCUCUCUGUCUCUGAAACGCGGAUGAAUUUGCCUAUGAUCAUGUUGUUUAAUGUUAAAUCUAGUUAGAAUUUGAGAGGCUCUUGUUUACUGGUGUGUUAUAGAUUGAAAUCAUAAAGUAACUAUUGAAUCUCUGUUUAUAUUGUUGCAUUUUUGCCUAUGGUUAGUCUUAAUUUUGUGGCAGCUUAACUCCGUCUGCAGCAUAAUGAAGUAGUAUUUCUUUAACUUUGGGAGAUAUUGUAUAAGACUAGCUCUGCAUAUGCUAUAGAGGAAAUCGAUUGAAGUAAUAGAUGUGGUACACAGGUUGUAAUGUUUGUUUAUUUGCUGUUUCUUUCAUCUUUAAUGGUAUUCCAAUUGUGGUCUAGUGUUCUCCAUUGAUGACAGGGUGGUUGAGUUGCUUUUUGUUGAUGAAUUUCCUAGACAUCUGCUCAUUGGUUUCCUAGACAUUAUGUGGAGCACCGUAAAAUGUGGAUUUUGAAGAACAUGACAUUAUGCAUUUGCUUGAAAGAUGAUUUCAUUGCUCAUGGCUUUGAUGCUCAUUAACAGGUUAUGCAAAAAAAUUAUGAAGUUCUAUUAGGUAAGACUCUCUGCCUUAUUCUUUUGUAUCGAUUCCAGCUUGUGAAUAAUACUAUUACUUUAAUAAACUAUUAGAGAUCUCAAUGUUUAUUCUCAUUGGCUAGAGUUUUUAAUGCUUCUGAGAUUGAACUAGGUAAUAUCUUAAUUCUUUUAGUAAGGGACCCCCCUGG